UACGAAGGGGGCUAGCGUUGUUCGGAUUUACUGGGCGUAAAGGGCGCGUAGGCGGUUGUGCAAGUCAGAUGUGAAAGCCCCGGGCUUAACCUGGGAACUGCAUUUGAAACUGCACAGCUUGAGUAUGGGAGAGGUCGGUGGAAUUCCCAGUGUAGAGGUAAAAUUCGUAGAUAUUGGGAAGAAUAUCGGAGGCGAAGGCGGCCGACUGGACCAUAACUGACGCUGAGGCGCGAAAGCGUGGGGAGCAAACAGG
RNAcentral lists this ribosomal RNA (253 nucleotides) under uncultured bacterium. RNAcentral's name for it is "partial 16S ribosomal RNA". It matches the Rfam family "Bacterial small subunit ribosomal RNA", at positions 524 to 776 of the family's 1533-position model. The record is from RNAcentral.